RNAcentral lists this ribosomal RNA (207 nucleotides) under uncultured bacterium. Its description in RNAcentral is "partial 16S ribosomal RNA". It matches the Rfam family "Bacterial small subunit ribosomal RNA", at positions 568 to 774 of the family's 1533-position model. The record is from RNAcentral.
CGGGCAGGUGGUCCGUUAAGUCGUCUGUGAAAAUCCGGGGCUCAACCCCGUGAAAUGCAGGCGAUACUGGCGGGCUAGAGAUCGGUAGAGGCUAGCGGAAUUCCUGUGUAGCGGUGGAAUGCGUAGAUAUCAGGAAGAACACCCGUGGCGAAGGCGGCUAGCUGGGCCGAGUCUGACACUCAUCCGCGAAAGCGUGGGGAGCAAACA